RNAcentral lists this ribosomal RNA (813 nucleotides) under uncultured bacterium. RNAcentral's name for it is "bacterial SSU rRNA". It matches the Rfam family "Bacterial small subunit ribosomal RNA", at positions 638 to 1450 of the family's 1533-position model. The record is from RNAcentral.
UGACUNGAGUGCAGAAGGGGAGAGUGGAAUUCCAUGUGUAGCGGUGAAAUGCGUAGAUAUAUGGAGGAACACCAGUGGCGAAAGCGGCUCUCUGNUCUGUCACUGACGCUGAGGCUCGAAAGCGUGGGUAGCGAACAGGAUUAGAUACCCUGGUAGUNCACGCCGUAAACGAUGAGUGCUAGGUGUUAGGCCCUUUCCGGGGCUUAGUGCCGGAGCUAACGCAAUAAGCACUCCGCCUGGGGAGUACGACCGCAAGGUUGAAACUCAAAGGAAUUGACGGGGGCCCGCACAAGCGGUGGAGCAUGUGGUUUAAUUCGAAGCAACGCGAAGAACCUUACCAGGUCUUGACAUCCCGAUGCUAUUCUUAGAGAUAGGAAGUUACUUCGGUACAUCGGAGACAGGUGGUGCAUGGUUGUCGUCAGCUCGUGUCGUGAGAUGUUGGGUUAAGUCCCGCAACGAGCGCAACCCUUAUUGUUAGUUGCCAUCAUUAAGUUGGGCACUCUAGCGAGACUGCCGGUAAUAAACCGGAGGAAGGUGGGGAUGACGUCAAAUCAUCAUGCCCCUUAUGACCUGGGCUACACACGUGCUACAAUGGUCGGUACAACGAGUUGCGAGCCGGUGACGGCAAGCUAAUCUCUGAAAGCCGAUCUCAGUUCGGAUUGGAGGCUGCAACUCGCCUCCAUGAAGUCGGAAUCGCUAGUAAUCGCGGAUCAGCACGCCGCGGUGAAUACGUUCCCGGGCCUUGUACACACCGCCCGUCACACCACGAGAGUUUGUAACACCCGAAGUCGGUGAGGUAACCUUUUAGGGGCC